CACAUGCAAGUCGAACGGUAACAGGAAGCAGCUUGCUGCUUCGCUGACGAGUGGCGGACGGGUGAGUAAUGUCUGGGAAACUGCCUGAUGGAGGGGGAUAACUACUGGAAACGGUAGCUAAUACCGCAUAAUGUCGCAAGACCAAAGAGGGGGACCUUCG
Molecule: ribosomal RNA, 160 nt
Filed under: Escherichia coli
Lineage: Bacteria; Pseudomonadati; Pseudomonadota; Gammaproteobacteria; Enterobacterales; Enterobacteriaceae
Description: partial 16S ribosomal RNA
Rfam family: Bacterial small subunit ribosomal RNA
Source: RNAcentral